This 200-nucleotide unclassified non-coding RNA is filed under the name soil metagenome. RNAcentral's name for it is "partial contains internal transcribed spacer 2 and large subunit ribosomal RNA". The record is from RNAcentral.
ACGGCUGGGUGUUGGGCGCUGUCCCCCCGGGGACACGCCCCAAAAGCAGUGGCGGCGCCGCGUCGGGUCCUCGAGCGUAUGGGGCUUUGUCACCCGCUCGGGAGGGACUCGGUCGGCGCUGGUCUUCCCUUUAGGCCGCCCUUCGGGGUGCGCCUCUUCCGGUUGACCUCGGAUCAGGUAGGGCUACCCGCUGAACUUAA